UGCCAGGCUUUUUGAUCUCGCUCAAAUUGAUUAGGGUGUAGAUACGAUGGGGGGGGGAUGCCCGAUGGAGGUCACACGAUGCUAAUGUCUGAGACAUCUUCUCCCAGAAAACACGGCGGUUAAUGAGUUUCCCCGUUUGUGUGUCGACGUUCGGUGGUGAUAGAAAUCGUUCUUAAAUGAUGCACUGCCAGACGGGGUAUGGAUUUUCCUGCUGAAAUAUUCAUAUGGAGGGUUAUUUGUGUGCCAAUAAGAAAGCAUAAUCAAUAUGUGACACCUGUCAGAUUGUACGACACAAUAGUUACGCCCAAAUAUUUCUCAAAUCGAAUUACGACUUUCCGUCACCUUCCAGAGAAAAGAAGCGUUUUAUCAAUGCUCGGCACAUUUUUUCUGGUUUAUCGCAGAGAUAGACAUCACCUAAGGUUUAACUCGACAAGACGCCAAACCUCAAGGACAAACCACACGCUUGGAGAAUCGCUUUUAACAAACGCUACAGAGAGAACAAUUCAUUAUCCAAAAGCGGCAAAGCCCCAAAAAUAGAACAAAGAAACAAGAUGUUUUCCCCAUUCGUCCAAUCAGAACGCUUGGUGUCUGCCUUCAUUUGUCAGUCACAACAGAUCUGGAGGAGAAACGAGAGGGAAGAACCUCUUUCUGAAGAGGUGAAAUGAGGAUGGAGGAAGGGUGACGUCUUCUAACCUCACGGCUGCUUCGGUCUACGGGAAACGGCGACCGCGGGCUUCGCUAAUGGUGGCACAUGAGUUUCAACCCUCCUGUGAAGAGAUUUCAUUUCAUUGAUUCAGAUUUCAUAGAAAGAAGAGUGAAAUGUCGGGGCAGGUGGCAUAUUCAUCGUGGGGUGCUGCGCUCCACGCAGCGAGGGAAACCUGAGGAACAAAAGAACCGGCAGGUUCUCUGACUGCUGACGAUAUUUAUAAAUAUGACAGCGUGCUGUUUUGAUGACAGACAGGUUAUUUCAUGAAAGUGGGAUGUCUUCUGUUUAAAACUGAAUGAAUAGACAACGGUCGUGUCAGGAGAUGAGGAAAACUUACUGCUGUGUUCACAGUCCUCACACUAUCUUUGCACCAAAGGGACCCAUCAUCCAUCAUGGCGACCCGCGGCUGCACAGAUGCUGGGUAAACCCCGCUCAUCUAAAUGCCGAACACACCGACCCGAGCACGGAUGCUCUUUCCACCGUACCAGCCACAACAGAUGUGGCCUCGGACCUCGCUAUUUAAAUCCGGCCACCUGAUGCCCAGGGCUGUGGCGAGAACUCCGGCGGCACAGCAUGGAUAAUGAAGGGAAUCGAGGGAGAAACCCGGAAAUGUAAUUUAAAAUCAAUUUUACAGGACAGAACGGAGAUGGGCCUGGAAGAGAAGACUAUGCAGGAUGAUGAAACUCUCCUCUGAAUUGCUCCUCUUACAAUCCCUCAAGGAUUUUGUCACACUGUGCGCACACAGCUCCAAUCUUAUGUUCCCUGAGAACACACAUUUUAGUUCUGUUCCAAUAACCCACAUCACGGCACAUAAGAUUGUUUUGGUGAACAUCUAAGGCAUCGUUGCAUGUUUCCUUUCUGCAUGAGGCAAUCUCAAGUUUUCUAUUUGCUUUCAGAAAUUCGACUGACAACAAAUACAUCUGCAGAGUUUGGAAGUAGCAUUCAAACAGACUGCAAGCUCUCUAGGUUUUAAAACACAGCUAAUGUCUCAUGCACAAUGCUAACUUUCACCUGCAUACACACAUCCAUGUGUGUACUACAAUGAAAACAGACCUUGUGAAAAGUAACACGAGUGCCAUUCAAAGCCAUAAAAUAAAACAGAAAAAGUU
Long non-coding RNA from Triplophysa rosa, 1815 nucleotides. RefSeq lists it as uncharacterized. The record is from RefSeq and is a predicted model, not a curated record. NCBI's taxonomy places the organism in Eukaryota, Metazoa, Chordata, Actinopteri, Cypriniformes, Nemacheilidae. The transcript has 3 exons.